GGAGAUCACAGGGCAGGAGAAGGCCAGAGAGAGGUGGCUUCUGAGGCCUUCCAAUCUCCUUUGGUUCAAAGUACUCAACAUUCCAAAGCAUUAUACUUUGGGGUAUAGUUUUCUGAGCCCCAACGGCAACUUUCUUAUAAACUUUUUUUACAACACCAAACAGAGCCAGCAUUAUCUUUUGAGAGACACAAGGAGAUGGCUGACAUUCCCUGCAACCUGAGUGAAUAUAUCCAGAAAACUUAUAAGACAAAAACUGCACAAGUUACUGGGUGUCUGAAGAUGUCAGGAGGCAACAUGGAAUUUUUAAUGUGCUGGAAUGUAAAAGAACCACUUGCUGAGAGGAAAAGAACUGGAACUCGGCUAUUCAGAAAUAAACUGUGAAGAAAAGUGACCAAAAGCUAUGACACAAAAGAGGCACUAAUUUCUAAACGACAAAUCCUAAGAUGUAUUGCUCUAGACCGAUCCUCUGUCAGAACAAGAUUAAAUGGAUAACCCAUUUGGUCUUUUCCAUCUCUAGCUCCUUUUUAUUUCCACUUCCAUUGUUCUAUGAAUAUACAAGAAAGGG
This 565-nucleotide long non-coding RNA is filed under the name Macaca mulatta (Rhesus monkey). RNAcentral describes it as "lncRNA (ENSMMUG00000057326.1)". Lineage: Eukaryota; Metazoa; Chordata; Mammalia; Primates; Cercopithecidae. The record is from RNAcentral.